CGGGGUUCGAGGUCCCAGGUCCGCGGACACCGUGCGCCGGGAUGCCCCGGACAGCGCGGCUCUGCGGGCGGCGGGUUUGUGACUGCGUCCGUGCUCCAGAGAGGCGACUGUGCAAGCGGGGACCGCACGGGCUGGAAGUAUGGCCACUGUCUCAGGAAACAACUAGCUGGUCUCCCAGCCGGUCAGGACAGCCUCCGAAGAAUGCUGAGGCCAGAAGCUGCGGGGAGAGCUCAAGUGCUGUCUCCUCUCUGUAGCUGCGCAGAGGCCGCCCCACCUGAAUGACACACCGCAGGGCCUGGGAUUCAGCACAUUUGAAAUCCAAACUCCUUCCUGUGGCCUAGAAAGCCUUAUACUAUCUGGUCCCUACUUCUCCUGUGACUGCAAAACUCCCUCCCACUCUCCGCUCCAGCCACACUGACGUUUUUUUCUAUUCCUUAAAACAAACCAAGACAAUUCCUUUUGGAGCCUUUUGCACUUGCUUUUUCCUCUGCCUGUGAUGUUCUUCCUCUGUCACAUCCCAUGGCUCCCAUAUGCUUCAUUCAGGUCUCUGUUCAAAUGUUUUAUCCUCAUAAGAGCCUUUAAAAAUUCUGCUUCUCAUCAUUCUUCAUCCUCUAUGCUGCUUUAUUUUUCUUCGUGGUGUCAUCAUUACUUCCACUUUACUACAUAUAUAUUUGUGGAUUUUUAUGUGUUUUGUUUUGGCCUUUCUUCCCAGCUAGCAUAUAAACUCCAUGAAGAUAGAGAUUCUUUAUGACUUGUUCCCAGUUGUGUCUUCAGCGCCUACAAUGUGCCUAGCCCAUGGGAGGCCCUCAAUAAAUAUUCACUGAGUGAAUGAAUGUACAAAUGAUCGCCCCGCUUCCGCUGGCCAAAGCAUGCCUGCACCAUGCUCUCUGGGGAAAUGUUGAGACGGAACUGGAAAAUCUUGACUUCCUUGGAGCUUCACUUUUAGGAGAAGAUAAGGUCUCGGAUGCCAUUUGGAAAAGAUGGAUGUCAUUUGGGAAAGAGAUCAGGCUCCGGGCUUCUAGGAACACUCAGAUAUGGGGAGUGUCAGCAAGCAAGGCCACUCUUUGAAGCUGGAUUCUCUACUGCAGGGCCCCCCUGUCCACAAGGGGACAUGGCUACAGUGAACCAACGUGUAGGAAGCAGUCAAUUACAGGAGCAAAGACACAGACUUUGGAGAUAGACAGGCUUAUGUUUUAGUCCUGGCUUUUUUAGCUAUGUGGUUUUAGGCAAAUUAUUUGACAGCUCUGAGCCUCAGUUCCGUCACAUAUAAAAUGGGGAUAAUUAUAUCUUCAUCACGGGGUUGUAGGGAUAAAAUGAGAUCAUGCAUGUCAAAUGCUUAGCAUAGUGCUCAAUGGAUGGCAGCUAUUAUUAGAAUUAAUUAAGCAAAGAGAACCUCAGAGGAGGAUAGUCAACGAGGGCAGGGCUUUCUUGGCUGAACAUAGGUGGAUAACAUAGGUGGAAUAUGAGCUCAGCUCAAGCAGGGUGGGGUCAGCCUCCUUGCCCGGGGAACACUUGCCUUAUCUUACCUGCUCUGGUGACCCCCAUGGGACAGAUGGGUGGGGCUUACAGACACCUGGCUCAGCCGCAUGCUCAGGAAAACAGCAUAAAGAGAUGGCAUCAAGAGGCUGUCCUGGCCACUAGCUUUUCAGAGUUGCGGGUUUCUGGUCUGAGGCCUUGCAUCUAGACAGGCUUUCCAUUGGAAGGCAAGGUGAGGCUGCUUCUGGGAAAGCCAUGUUUUCCGGCACUCGCCGCUAGCUGAGGGCACUGAACCUGGCAGGGGAAGGCGAUUCUGAACUUCCACUCACUGCCAAACGAACCCAUCUGGAAUCCCGCUUUCUUCAUUGCUACCACCAUUGCUGAAGAAUUUGCAAUGGCUCCCUAUUGCCUGUGACCAUUGGCAAGUGGCCUAACCUUUUGGGACCCCAAUGCUCUCGUUGUUAUGGAGGGAUGAGGUGGACUGGAAGGUUGAGCUGCAAUUCAGUUCCUCUAGCAGGUCAAGACCAAAUUCUCCAUGCUUCUGUUAAGGCCCACUCCAUCGGUUCAACUUUACAUCCCACAACCCCAGUGCCUGACCUUUCCUACCCAGCCACGCUGCUCCUCCUUGAUCUCAAACACCCUGCCUGUGCCCAUUUUUAUGCACUGUCUUAUCCCCUUCUCUCUCUCUGGGAUGUCUGCUUUGUCUGUGUUUCCACACUUCGGUGCUCAAAUAUUAGAGUGGUUAAGAAUAAAGGCU
Molecule: long non-coding RNA, 2233 nt
Organism: Mirounga angustirostris (Northern elephant seal)
Lineage: Eukaryota; Metazoa; Chordata; Mammalia; Carnivora; Phocidae
Exons: 3
Source: RefSeq, a predicted model, not a curated record